This 147-nucleotide ribosomal RNA is filed under the name uncultured eukaryote. RNAcentral's name for it is "partial 18S ribosomal RNA". It matches the Rfam family "Eukaryotic small subunit ribosomal RNA", at positions 1299 to 1458 of the family's 1831-position model. The record is from RNAcentral.
UGGUGGAGUGAUUUGUCUGGUUAAUUCCGUUAACGAACGAGACCGCGACCUGCUAAAUAGUUCGGCUUAGCCUUCGGGCUAGGUAACUUGCGGACUUCUUAGAGGGACUAUCGGUGAUCUAGCCGAUGGAGGUUCGCGGCAAUAACA